UACGUAGGGUGCGAGCGUUGUCCGGAAUUAUUGGGCGUAAAGAGCUCGUAGGCGGUUUGUCGCGUCUGCCGUGAAAGUCCGGGGCUCAACUCCGGAUCUGCGGUGGGUACGGGCAGACUAGAGUGAUGUAGGGGAGACUGGAAUUCCAGGUGUAGCGGUGAAAUGCGUAGAUAUCUGGAGGAACACCGGUGGCGAAGGCGGCGUCCUGGACCAACACUGACACUGAUGAGCGAAAGCCAGGGGAGCAAACGGG
Molecule: ribosomal RNA, 253 nt
Filed under: uncultured bacterium
Lineage: Bacteria
Description: partial 16S ribosomal RNA
Rfam family: Bacterial small subunit ribosomal RNA
Source: RNAcentral